AAGUCAUCAUCUAAUAAAAUAAAUUUUAAGAAAACCCCUACCUCGUUCGCAAUUCAACUACGCGACAAACUGCAUUUCUAUUCUUAUCCCACAGCAACAGCAUUAAUACCGACCGUCCCCGCAGUAGCCACAGCCUUAGCUCAAUCCUAAAACAUUAAUGUCACGUAAAACUCAAUAAU
Molecule: non-coding RNA, 179 nt
Organism: Arachis ipaensis
Lineage: Eukaryota; Viridiplantae; Streptophyta; Magnoliopsida; Fabales; Fabaceae
Source: RefSeq, a predicted model, not a curated record